UUGAAUAAAUGAGAGUGCUCAAAGCAGGCUACUCUUAAAAAUAAAGCCCGAAUGUUACCUGCAUGGAAUGAUGGAAGAUGAUCUCGGUUCCAUUUUAUUGGUUGUGGGAAUCCGAGUUAAUGAUAAAGAGGGACUGUCGGGGGCAUCCGUACUACGACGCGAGAGGUGAAAUUCAGUGACCGUCGUAGGACGAACAACAGCGAAAGCAUUUGCCAAGAAUGUCUUCGUUGAUCAAGAACGAAAGUUAGAGGAUCGAAGGCGAUCAGAUACCGCCCUAGUUCUAACCCUAAACGAUGCUGACUAGCAAUUCGCCGUCGUUAUUCCCAUGACGUGGCGAGACGCCCCCGGGAAACCUCAAGUCUUUGAGUUCCGGGGGUAGUAUGGUUGCAAAAGUGAAACUUAAAGGAAUUGACGGAAGGGCACCACCAGGAGUGGAGCCUGCGGCUUAAUUUGACUCAACACGGGAAACCUGACCAGGCCCGGACACCAGAAGGAUUGACAGAUUAAGAGCUCUUUCUCGAUUUGGUGGGUGGUGGUGCAUGGCCGUUCUUAGUUGGUGGAGUGAUUUGUCUGGUUAAUUCCGGUAACGAACGAGACUCUGGCCUACUAAAUAGUCGACGUGGGUUUCUGUGCAUGGGCCCCGUUCGACAAUGUCUUCUUAGAGGGAUGAGCAGCGAGUCUAGCUGCAGGAGAUUGAGCAAUAACAGGUCUGUGAUGCCCUUAGAUGUCCUGGGCCGCACGCGCGCUACACUGAAUGGGUUAGCGGGUUUUCCUUCUCCGAGAGGAGCGGGAAAUCGCGUGAAAACCAUUCGUGAUAGGGAUUGGGGCUUGCAAUUGUUUCCCAUGAACGAGGAAUUCCCAGUAAGCGCAAGUCAUCAGCUUGCGUUGAUUAAGUCCCUGCCCUUUGUACACACCGCCCGUCGCUACUACCGAUUGAAUGAUUUAGUGAGGCCUUCGGACUGGCGGUCUUGGAGCGGGAUCUCUGCUUUGUCCAGCAAUGGGGGAGCAGGAACCUACCAUGAUAGCUGGAAAGAUGUCCAAACUUGAUCAUUUAGAGGAAGUAAAAGUCGUAACAAGGUUUCCGUAGGUGAACCUGCGGAAGGAUCAUUAA
Molecule: ribosomal RNA, 1111 nt
Filed under: Typhlocaris salentina
Lineage: Eukaryota; Metazoa; Arthropoda; Malacostraca; Decapoda; Typhlocarididae
Description: SSU rRNA
Rfam family: Eukaryotic small subunit ribosomal RNA
Source: RNAcentral